AAAUUGAAGAGUUUGAUCAUGGCUCAGAUUGAACGCUGGCGGCAGGCCUAACACAUGCAAGUCGAACGGUAACAGGAAUCAGCUUGCUGAUUCGCUGACGAGUGGCGGACGGGUGAGUAAUGUCUGGGAAACUGCCUGAUGGAGGGGGAUAACUACUGGAAACGGUAGCUAAUACCGCAUAACGUCGCAAGACCAAAGAGGGGGACCUUCGGGCCUCUUGCCAUCGGAUGUGCCCAGAUGGGAUUAGCUAGUAGGUGGGGUAACGGCUCACCUAGGCGACGAUCCCUAGCUGGUCUGAGAGGAUGACCAGCCACACUGGAACUGAGACACGGUCCAGACUCCUACGGGAGGCAGCAGUGGGGAAUAUUGCACAAUGGGCGCAAGCCUGAUGCAGCCAUGCCGCGUGUAUGAAGAAGGCCUUCGGGUUGUAAAGUACUUUCAGCGGGGAGGAAGGGAGUAAAGUUAAUACCUUUGCUCAUUGACG
RNAcentral lists this ribosomal RNA (484 nucleotides) under Escherichia coli. RNAcentral describes it as "bacterial SSU rRNA". It matches the Rfam family "Bacterial small subunit ribosomal RNA", at positions 1 to 474 of the family's 1533-position model. The record is from RNAcentral. Lineage: Bacteria; Pseudomonadati; Pseudomonadota; Gammaproteobacteria; Enterobacterales; Enterobacteriaceae.